Molecule: ribosomal RNA, 433 nt
Filed under: uncultured bacterium
Lineage: Bacteria
Description: partial 16S ribosomal RNA
Rfam family: Bacterial small subunit ribosomal RNA
Source: RNAcentral
AGCGAACGCUGGCGGCAUGCCUAAUACAUGCAAGUCGAACGAGAUCUUCGGAUCUAGUGGCGCACGGGUGCGUAACGCGUGGGAAUCUGCCCUUGGGUUCGGAAUAACUUCUGGAAACGGAAGCUAAUACCGGAUGAUGACGUAAGUCCAAAGAUUUAUCGCCCAAGGAUGAGCCCGCGUAGGAUUAGGUAGUUGGUGAGGUAAAGGCUCACCAAGCCGACGAUCCUUAGCUGGUCUGAGAGGAUGAUCAGCCACACUGGGACUGAGACACGGCCCAGACUCCUACGGGAGGCAGCAGUAGGGAAUAUUGGACAAUGGGCGAAAGCCUGAUCCAGCAAUGCCGCGUGAGUGAUGAAGGCCUUAGGGUUGUAAAGCUCUUUUACCCGGGAUGAUAAUGACAGUACCGGGAGAAUAAGCUCCGGCUAACUCCGUG